RNAcentral lists this small RNA (725 nucleotides) under Arabidopsis thaliana (thale cress). RNAcentral describes it as "ATSL131840". Lineage: Eukaryota; Viridiplantae; Streptophyta; Magnoliopsida; Brassicales; Brassicaceae. The record is from RNAcentral.
UUAAAAAAAUCGAAUGACAUAUGUCAUUUUGUUGUGUGAUGAUGUGUCAUUUAUAUGGAGAGAGUUGACCAACUUUUAUAUAUAUGAUUUUUGAAUGAAAUUAAACGUGAUUUUUUUUUAUGUAAACGGUGUUAAUAAAACGCAAUGUUUUAGAAAUAGAGUGACUUACCCUUAAGCAUCUUCCGCUCGGGAUAAUAGUAAUGGUAAAUUGCUAUUACGUUAGAAGUGGUUUGAGCUGCCGCUUUAGCUGCAUAUGUGCAUAGCUAGCAAAACAAAGACACAUCUGCUAAUUAAGUCUUGCCAUUGGCGAUCUUAAUUUAGAUGUUUGUUCUUUAAAAUAUAAUGGGAUAUAAUCAGAGAUGGACUAAGAAAUUUAUAAUCAUAGGGAAAAAGUUUUUUAUACACUGAAUAAAUUGCUAUACCAAAAAGUUUGUCACGUUAUGAGUAAUUUUCUUAUUAGGCUUUGAAUUUUCAGUGUAUGACUAGUCUUGGGAGAUGUCUAUGGCGGCUUUUUCAAGCUUUGUGGUAGAAAUUAGAAGUUUUUGAGGUAAUAUGAUUGAGCAUUUAUUAGAGGGGACAUAUGUUUAUGUUUAAUCUUUAGUCUUUAGGCGUUAUUACUUAUUUGUAUCGUACGUGGUCAAAAUUUUACGGUAUCCAGAAUUUUUGGAUCAGUUAAUGGAUCAAAGUUGAUUACUUAGCUUGCUGCAAGUAAGUGUUCUAACAUA